UGGAUUGUGACUCAGUGGUAGAGUGCUCACCUAGCACGUGUGUGGCCCUGGGUUUGAACCUCAGCAACACAU
Molecule: non-coding RNA, 72 nt
Organism: Ictidomys tridecemlineatus (thirteen-lined ground squirrel)
Lineage: Eukaryota; Metazoa; Chordata; Mammalia; Rodentia; Sciuridae
Source: Rfam